AUGAAGCCGGAAUUGCUAGUAAUGGCAGGUCAGCAUACUGCCGUGAAUACGUUCCCGGGCCUUGUACACACCGCCCGUCACACCAUGAGAGUUGGGAAUACCCGAAGCCUGUGAGCCAACUGUAAAGAGGUAGCAGUCGAAGGUAGAAUCAAUGAUUGGGGUGAAGUCGUAACAAGGUAUC
Molecule: ribosomal RNA, 181 nt
Filed under: uncultured bacterium
Lineage: Bacteria
Description: partial 16S ribosomal RNA
Rfam family: Bacterial small subunit ribosomal RNA
Source: RNAcentral